Neofelis nebulosa (Clouded leopard) is the source of this 6667-nucleotide long non-coding RNA. RefSeq lists it as uncharacterized. The transcript is spliced from 2 exons. The record is from RefSeq and is a predicted model, not a curated record. NCBI's taxonomy places the organism in Eukaryota, Metazoa, Chordata, Mammalia, Carnivora, Felidae.
UGCCUCCAUGGGAUCCCUCCUCAUCUGCAAUGGUCAGAGAUGGGGGGGGUGGUGAAGAACUGUCUAGAGUUUGCAGUCAGUCCCCCAGAAUAACAGAAGCACACUUCUAUAUCACUUCAUAGACUUUUUAAUGACUUUAUAGUGUUACCUUGAGUGGCACCAUCACAGACAAUUUAAACAUUUCCAUAGUUUAAGACAUUUUGGAUUCUCCAUUUUGUUUUCUGGGAUACAACACACAGUUUUGUGGGGAGAAAACCUUUCUAUUUGAGCUUACUAAUAAAAUCUUAGUAUAGAAUCACAGAAAUUAAAAGUUUAUAAAAAUUUUGAGGGGAGCCUGAGUGGCUCAGUCAGUUGAGUGUCCACCUCUCGAUUUUGGUUCGGGUCAUGAUCCCAGCAUUGUGGGAUCGAGCCCCACCUUGAGCUCCAUGCUGAGUGUGGAGCCUGCUCGGGGUUCUCUCUCUCUCCCUCUACCCCUCUCCCCCGGACUUGUACGCUCUCUCUCUGACAUAAAAAAAAUAAAUAAGGGGCACCUGGGUGGCUCAGUCAGUUGAGCGUCCGACUUUGGCUCAGGUCAUGAUCUCACGGCUCAUGAGUUCGAGCCCCGCAUUGGGCUCUGAGCCUGGAGCCUGCUUCACAUUUUGGGUCUCUCUCCCUCUCUGCCCCUCUCCUGCUCAUGCUCUCUCUCUCUCUCUCUGUCUCUCAAAAAUAAAAAUAAACAUUAAAAAAUUUUUAAAAGUUUAUAAAUAUUUUUGUUUUUCCUUCAUUAUGUCAAAGCAUUUUGUGAGGUGCUCACGCCCAUUUCAGCCCAGGUCAGUGGUACAAGUGUGCUCAUUUCACUGCCCGGCAAUACUGAAUACUUAAAAAAAAAAUCUCUGCUGAAACAAAAUAAGGAAACUCUCCACCCCCAGCAUUUCGUUGAUAUAAUUGGCAUUCAUUUAAUUGCUAGUAAAGGAAGAGAGGGAGAGACCUAGAGAGAGAGAGAAAUAGAGAUGUUUAUAUACUCACCCAAGUCUAGGAAACGCCCUGUCAUGUUCCUAUCUUCAUUAUUCACAGUGAGCACGCUCUGGCGAUUCCCACAGGAAAGUAACAUGUGCAAUUUUCUUGUGGCGUCAGAGUGUUUUCCCGAUUACUUGGAUCACAGAACACACUCCUUUUUUUUGCAUCGCAUCAAGUUUUGCGUGGCAUCAGCGCCUGGGAACUACCGUUUUGAGGGGUACAUUCCUGGGGAAGUGUUGUCUUGAUAAACUGCGGUAGUUUUUCUUCCUGGGGGGGGGAUUUCAGAGACCACGGAAAGGCGGAGCUUCUGGUGGCUCCUGCAAACACACUCGACUCCAUGAAAGAGGAACGAAACCCGUCAACGAAGAUGUACUACUUCUCUUUCAUCCAGCCUGUUCACUUUGCAGUGAGAACCUCAAGAGCUCUCCCAGGCUUCGUUUUAAGGGAUGCAUUCUUUGCUGCGAAUAGCAGGCUGGCGAUUCUCUCCUCUCCUCUUCGCGGCUCUACAGCCGGAGGUAGCUGACGGUGGUGCAGAGUCGAGGGGGCUGGCCGUGUGCUGGGACUUUGCUGCUGCAGGCGUGCUCUGCGGAUGAACAGCUUGUGUCCCAAGCAUCUUUCUGCUCCAAGACCUUGGCAUCCAUCUUCAAGACCACCUCAUGAUCCAAAAUGGCUACUUUAGCUCUGUGCAUCAUAUCCUUAUUCCAAGCCACAGACGGAUAAAACAGGUAAGUCAUCUUAGUUGAGUCAGCUCCCCUUGAAGAGUCUUUCAAGCAAUGUUUUCUAUAAGAUAUUUGUGUAGUAGACAAUAGGGUAUUUAAAAAGUAGGAAAACUUGUAGGUCAUUUACUCUAUUGUUUCCCAACCUUUAUACAUUUUGAUUUCUCUUUCAUGAUUUUUACUAUACUUCAAUGUCAUCCAUCCAAGCAAUUACUUCAUAGUCAAUCAUGUAGUGAAAAAGUUAUUUCCCUACAUUUCAUACCAUCUAUAUGAUUUUUACAUAAUGUGUUCUUAAAUCAACUUACUUUUUAAAACUUAAAUAUGUAUAUUUAGAAAUAAAAAUUUCAGGGGUGCCAGGGUGGCUUAGUCGGUUGAGGGUACGACUCUUGACUUCAGCUCAGGUCAUGAUCCUGGGGUUGUAGGAUUGAGCUCUGUGCUGAGUGUGGAUCCUGCUUAAGAUUCUCUCCCUCUCUCUCUGCCUCUCUCCCUUGCCCUCUUUCUCUCUAAAAAAAUAAAAUUAAAAAAUGAAGAUUAGCAAACCACAGAUUAUGGAUAUCUCCUGAAUGAAACAGAAGGAUUGCAAAGAGAGUAGCUUUCCCUUACACUAUUCAAUAUAAUUUAAUGUCCUGUGUACCACCUAACUCAUCUCAAUUUACUAGAAGUCUGUGAUAUACAUUUUGGGACACACUGGUGCAUUCUGUUGACCAGUGAGAAAGCCAAUUUCCCAGAGGCCCAGUGUGAUUCUCUGUUUGCCUCUUGGGAUUCUCAUAUGCUUAUAAAGACUUUAUUGCCUGACACCACAUUCAGCUGGUUUAGGGUCUCUAUCUGCCUGCUAGACUGUGAGCUCUGAGAAGGCCAAAACAGAUGGGUCUGUGAUCCCUGGGGCAAAGCCCAGGGUCUGCCCAGAGUCAGUGCACUUAGUGGGCUGGAGCAAAUGGAAUUGUCCAAGAACAUGCAGCUCGUGUGCAAGGAUGAAACCAGGGUCCAUAUCUUCUGGGAGCUCAACAAACAGUGCUUUCAAGUCAGGUUUCUAGAGAGAAGGAUCAAUUUGGUUCCAGGGAAAGAGAUCAGAAAGAUUUAAAAUAGAGUGCUGCUUUUUAUUUUUAAAAAUCAAGGUUACUCUUGCUUUUUUUCCCAUGAUAUAUUCCUGUGUGUAUAAUAGUAGGUUAAAAACCCAUAGUGACUCAAGGUAGAAAUCUCAAAGAAAGGUCAUUCAAUAAAGUGGUUGUUGGUGGUGAUGGCAGUAAUAGGAAGAAUAGCUUCCAUUUAUUGAGCAUUUUCUAGAUACCAAACACAAUCCUAAGCGCUUGAAUUUUCUCACCGGUCAGAUAAUUAUUAUUCCCAUUUCAUCAGAGAAAACUGAAGUAUAGAGUGGUCUUUAGUGAGCACAUGAGAUACAACAGCCAGUAAGUGAUGAGAAAGUCUUCAUUAGAUGUGUGUACUUCUUCAGAUCCUCUAGGCCUCACCUGAGUUUUGGUCCAGGGGUUACUAUAGUAACCAGCUCAGCACCAGUUCCACCAACUUCCGGCAGGUGGGAUCUGCCAGUACCUCACCCUGGGCACCCUCUGUAGUGUGCUUGUUGUCUCCUGUCCUGGGACCGCUCUGUGGCUUUGAAUCCACGGUACCCCUAGUCACCUGGGCAUACAUAGCUCAGAACUGGGGAAUUAACGCCGCAUAGGGCAAACGUUCGACUUGUGCGAGAGGGAAACAGACGGAUUGAUGUUCCUCCACCUCUUUUACUCCCUGGGAUAGGCUGUGCGGUGCUCAUAUUUUAUAUUUUCUUGGAGGACAGUCUCUCAGUGUCAGACAACCAGUUGUACCUGUGGCAGCCAACUUGAGAAAGUAUUUUUAAUUGGCCCACCCUCCUAUUUUCUCCCUUUUCUUUCACUCUGCUCUCUUAGAUCAUAAUAAAGAAAUGUCGCGUAGACCCUUACUUUUGGCUCUUCUUUCUAUGGAACACAGUUUGAAUCAACCCAGAUCUGUCUGAUUCUGAAGCCCAUGCCCAGGACACUGAGUUAUAUUGGUUCUAUGUAUGAAUUUUCAAGAUAGGCUAACUUCCUGGUGAGAAGCCCAUGCUUUUGGUAUCUUGAUGAUCUGGUACUUCCUUCUCCCCACUCUCUGUCUCAAAUAUUGAGUGUAUUAUGAGUUCUUGAGUGUAUCUUGAGUUCUUUGUAUUAUGUUCUGUUGUUUUCAGCCCUUUGCACUUGCUUUCUCAUUGGCGCAUGCUAUCCUUCUCCUUUCUUCUGUAUUCCUUUCUGCUUCCUUUUCUGGCUAACACUCAUUUUUAGAAUUCAGUCUCAAUGGCUUUUUCUGAUUCCCCUGGUCCCCUCAGUCUUCCCUCAGUGUGGAUUAGCUCUUUGUUUCCUAUACUUUACUUUUAUAUGCCUACCUUCAUGUCAUUAUCUGUUCUUCCAGGAGUCCCCAGCUCUUUGAAGAUCAGGGUGGUGUCCCAUUGACUUUUCUGUCUGUCAUGAGCAUGGAACCUUCCACAGGGUCUCAGCUAAGUGAAGGUGAUGGUGGAAUGAUCAAGGGCACAGGAGUGUUGUCAGGUGGACCUGGGGCUUCAGUCCUGCUCUGACACUUAUAGCCAUGGACUUCCAAGCACAUUGCCUGACAAUUGUGACAUUCAGCUUCCUAAUCUGUAAAAAGGGGGGAAGAAAAACAUAGCAGCUAUGAUGUUGGGUUCUUAUAAGGAUUAAAUGACAUAAAACAUAUUGAAUUUAGUAAGACAAAAAUAAAUGUAAGUUAUUUUAUCAACAAUAAGGUAAUUCAUUAUUCCUUCCAAAAAGGUGAGAAAGUAGAGAAGUUAGAUUAAUUGUCACCCACAUCUAAACACAGCUUUAGUGAGUGCCCUCGAGUCUUUAGGAGACUCUGAGUCUUGGCUCAGGCCACAAAAGCUUACAAGCUAAGUUUGGUCUAGUUUUACUAGGUACCCACCUUGUGCUAGGCACUGUCUGCAGGGCUGGGGCAUUAGAAAUGGUAAUACUUGGGGACUAUCCUCAGCAAGUUCAAAGUCUAGCAAGGUUAUGACCUCAAAGUCUGUGAUCUUCUAUUAUGACCACAUUAUCUCCCAUCUUGAGCAUAAAUGCAUUCAUUCCUUCAACAAAGUAUUGUGCAUGUACUAUGUACCCAGCCCUAGCUAGGUGGCAGGGACAGAGCAGUGAAUUUAUACUUUUAUUUUUUGAAGUUUAUCUACACUGGGAAAGAUAGACAAACAGCACACAAAGAAAAGAAAAUAACCAGGAGAAAAAAAGCAGAUGUUAAACCAGUGGACAAGAGAAUUCCAGAAAGAGACAUCAGAUUGUGCCAAAGGAUGGAAAUGUGGAUAGCAUGGCAUGAUCUGAGACCAGGAGUCUGCUGGUGAUAUCACGGGGUAGGGAGAUGGGUGAGGCUGGAGAGACAAGCUGGGACAGAGUGCCAAGGGCUGUCCUGCUAGUCAGGAUUCUUUUUCAUCACAGAAACCCAACCAGAGGAGUAAAAUGGGGGUGGGUUUAUGUGGCAUAGCUUGUGCGUGGGCAAGAAAGGGCUUGGCCCCAGAGAAACUGGACCCGAGGUUAAAGGCAUCUUAUUGCCAAGACGGAAUUUCCUCAUGUGAUAAGGAACAUGGUCAUAUAUAAGUUUAGGUUUAUUUCUUUGCUACCUAAUGGCUUUAAGUAAAAGGAACUCCUCUGUUAAAAAAGAAUAAGUCCCAGGGAACACCAGUUGGCUUUGUUUGAGUCAUGUGACCUUCCUGGAUCACUAGUCACAGUGACCAGGACAUGAGAACAUCUGGUUGGCUCUACUUGCCAGCCUUAUGUUUGGUGGGGUCAGGGUCUGUUUACAAAAGGAGAAGAAGGUAUCCUACCCAUACCCAAACCAAAUAAUACCCCAAAGCCUUGAAUUCGACACCAGGGAGUUUGGGUUGCAUCUGAGGGUGGCAGAAAUCGUUUUCAGGUUUUAAGUUAGAAGAUGAAACGGUCAGAUGUAUGUUUAGAAAGAGCAGCCCAGGCAUAGGGUAGAAAGAUGGUUGAGUAGGUGGAGCAGAUGGAAGCCCGGAAGACCUAUUGUGAUACUGAUGUCAUAAUGCCACAGUCCAAGUAAGGCCCUAGAACAGGGGCUGUGCACAAGGUUGUUGGGAGUGUGGGUGGAUGAAGGAGAGAACACAGGGGAUGGAUAUUCCAUUCCAGGUUCCAGCUGGAGACAGAUGAGAAAGCACUGGCCACUGCUGUGUGAAUUGUUGUCAAGGCGAAUUGCUGAUAAGGUCUUUCUAGAAGAAGUUAUUCUGGCUUAGCAGCUGGCCAGUAUCCUAGACUUACUUAUUCUUUUACCAAAGCUAAAUUGGAGCAAGGUGCAGAAAACCUGCUUUUCUGACUGGGAUGAUAGGAUUUCAAUUUAACAAAUACUGAGCACCCACCAUGUGCCAUGCCUAAGGCUUAUUUAUUUUUUGAGGUGAAUAAGACAAGUCUCUACCAGAAAAGUACAACAUGGUAAUCCUAUAAUCUUUACCAUAGGACUAUGGGGUAGCAUGGAAAAUAUCCUGACCUCCAUUACACACUUCCUUGGAGAAGUGAACUGACUUUCUCAGUUCCCAUAGGAGACUUCUCCUCACUUUGGUACACUUUAAUGUGAAACCCAUGAGUUCUGGCUCUUUUCUAUACCACAGGAACUAAGGGACUCCCUCAGGCAGCUGUGGGCUGAUAAAGGUUGAACAACAGACUCUCUAAGCAGUGUUUGCUGGUCAUCAGUGUGAAUACUCUCACCAUAGCUGGUUUCGUCAGUCUUGUCUGAAUGUCGACAUGGAAAGAGAUGCACACAAGGAGUCUCUUGAAUCUGAGGAUUCAGUGGUCUCAUCAGCCAGACUGCAGCCUGCACCCUGGAGGGGAAGGUAGAAACUCCAUCUUCUUGGAGUUUGGUUUGCGUGGUCUGUCUGGGUUGAAUUGUGUCCCCCACAAAAGACACGUUAAUUUCCUAACCUC